Molecule: ribosomal RNA, 253 nt
Filed under: uncultured bacterium
Lineage: Bacteria
Description: partial 16S ribosomal RNA
Rfam family: Bacterial small subunit ribosomal RNA
Source: RNAcentral
UACGGAGGGUGCAAGCGUUAAUCGGAAUUACUGGGCGUAAAGCGUGCGUAGGCGGUGAGUUAAGUCAGAUGUGAAAGCCCCGGGCUUAACCUGGGAACGGCAUUUGAUACUGGCUGACUAGAGUUUGAUAGAGGAGAGGGGAAUUUCAGGUGUAGCGGUGAAAUGCGUAGAGAUCUGAAGGAACACCAGUGGCGAAGGCGCCUCUCUGGAUUAAAACUGACGCUGAGGUACGAAAGCGUGGGUAGCAAACAGG